UUAGUGUUCAUACCUGUGGCAAUAUUCAGGAUUGUGUUCCAGGAAAUCAUUGUGAGAUGUCGGAAGUUGUAACUUUAAAGCUUUAAACUAAUUAUCCAUCAAAUGAAUAAUAACCCUAAACUGUUGCACUGCAUUGUCAACAUUUCCAAGAGCUCCCCAGACAGAGGCGGGCAAACAGAGGCACCGCCCCGCCAGUCGACGACCUCAGCAUAAUGACGUGUUUUUACUCUCUCUGUGUCCACAUUUCACGAGCUUUAUUUUCGAAUUGUAUCGGUUGAUAUUAAAUAGCGACUUCAUGUUGCACUAAAUGACAAAUCAGUGUUGGGAUAAAAAGACAAGCAUUUAAAUAAUAAUAACGAUUGAUUCAUUGCGUGUUUUAAGACGAGCGAACUACCAAGAACCAUCUUACUACCUCUCACCCCAUCACGAGGGGGAGUUGAUGCCUCUCCCUCCCUCCCUCCCUCUGCUCGGAGACUGUCACGCAGCGGCAAGUAUUCGUUGUGUUGUGAAUAUUGGCGUCAGUGUCACGGGGCGGCGUCGGUGUGGCAGGAAAGCGACACGUAGGUAGGUACCGUGACGCGGCCGCUGCAGAUUGGUUUAUCUGUGUGUGCUAUGCUGAGGUCCUCAUCCAUGAAGCCCUCAAAAAUAUGUGGCCUCAUGCUGGUCACCAUCUUCUCUUUUGAUAUCACCGAGUGAUUUCACAUCCACUGAGGAUCUUUGCAGGCUGCUAAGUGGUGGUGGUGGUUGCUGGUGUCCAGGUGUGGGAAUACGUGUCAAGUCACCAACCCCUCCCAGCACUGGCCAAACUCUGUGGUAACACGGAGAGCAAGUGGAAGAAACCUUGGGAGACUUCCAUGACUCAGGAACAAGCACACCUCACUGGGAGCCUUGUGACUGACAGGUGGUUCAGACCGACUGGGAGACAUGACGUCUGUGCCACCACGCAGGGAGUAAAACCAAGAGGAGGAAGAGGAGCAUUCAAGAGACAUCAGCUGGCCAGCAGUCCAUUCAGUUUCACAACAGGAAGUGAAGGAUGAAGCAUGAAGGUUUUAGGCCAAAAUGAACUGACAGCAAUCAGGAAUGACACGUCCAGCAAAACCAGCAACACAGCAGAGUGCAACCUCUACAAGUGGUGGAGGGCAUGGACACUUGGAUAUGGAUGACACUGGUUUGGGUGCCAAAUAUUCAUAGUGCACCUACACAAUUACCACACUCGCUCCUCUCACCAGGCUUAACUAUAAAUAAUUAAAGGUAAAUAACAUCUGUCAUCUAUUAUCUAUUGUAUUCUAUAUUGCUGUUAAUGUUUCAUGUAUAAUGUCUUUGCUUUCAAAUGCAAGUCAAAAGGGUGAACCCCAUUUAUAGUACUAUUCACGUUUGGCAAAUUUCACUUUUGACAUUGGUUUGGCUACACUAAUUGAACUGCUAACAGUGAGGGACUACUGUAAAUGUAGUAAUAAUUAUAAUAAUAAUAAUAAUAAUAAUAAUAAUAAUAAUAAUAAUAAUAAUAAUAAUAAAAAGUAAUGAUAAAGUGCAAGACAUGUUCAUUAACGCAAUUAUUUUCUCCAACAUGGAGGAAUGAGUGAGGAGGCACAUCUGUCUGUGAUUAGGGAAUGCAAAUGACGAUGUUCCAAGGACAUCACCCUGUCCUGGGCCAUGACAUGAGAGAGAAGAGGAAAAAAGGACUCUCUCUCUCUCUCUCUCUCUCUCUCUCUCUCUCUCUCUCUCUCUCUCUCUCUCCUCUCUCUCUCUCUCUCUCAGAGUUUCCAUAACACCAAACUACUCUGGUGUUAAUUUCAUGAGUUGCUGAAUAAUAGAAAUGGGAAUGUUAGUUCAAUGCAUUUAGCUCUGAGUAUGAAAGAAUGACAAGAAAGAAUGCAGAGGACACUAGAACACAUGCACAGAAAACUGAAAGAUUUUUAAACUUUUGAAUAGGUGUAGGAAAAAAAAAAAAAAAAAACUGCAAAAUCAGUGUCUCCUUAAAAACAACACAUGACAGCAAUGAUAACUCAUACAACAAUAAUGCUUGAUGAAGACUAUAUUUCCAACACAGAUUUAUGACAACAUUUGGCAAAGCUGUGCACUGUUUACUUGUGUUAAAACUAUGCUAUGAUUUGAGAGGAAAGUUGGUUAGUCAUUAUAGGGUUAAGAUGAUAUAAGGGUGUUUAUUUUAGCUAAUUUCCAAUGACUCCUAAUAUAAGAUUAAAACUUUAAUGAUUAAGUAACUAUUUCAUUGUUUACAUUAAUUUACACCAAAAUUUCGCAACUACAACCUCAGGGAUGUUUAGUUAAUCCAAUUUUGUUCACAACUACUACAUUUUUUCCAAUGGUUUACCCAUAGUACAACACAAACAACUACAAUAUCAUUCAUGCUAUUUCAUUCCAAAAAAAAAUUCACAACUAUGUACAUGAUCUAGUUUACAAUAAAAGGAUUUUGAACAAUA
This is an RNA transcript of Scylla paramamosain (green mud crab), 2441 nucleotides long. RefSeq lists it as uncharacterized. The transcript is spliced from 6 exons. The record is from RefSeq and is a predicted model, not a curated record. NCBI's taxonomy places the organism in Eukaryota, Metazoa, Arthropoda, Malacostraca, Decapoda, Portunidae.